UUGAUCAUGGCUCAGGACGAACGCUGGCGGCGUGCCUAAUACAUGCAAGUCGAGCGGACUUGUAGGAGCUUGCUCCUGCAGGUUAGCGGCGGACGGGUGAGUAACACGUGGGCAACCUACCUGUAAGACUGGGAUAACUUCGGGAAACCGGAGCUAAUACCGGAUGACAUAAAGGAACUCCUGUUCCUUUAUUGAAAGAUGGCUUCGGCUAUCACUUACAGAUGGGCCCGCGGCGCAUUAGCUAGUUGGUGAGGUAACGGCUCACCAAGGCGACGAUGCGUAGCCGACCUGAGAGGGUGAUCGGCCACACUGGGACUGAGACACGGCCCAGACUCCUACGGGAGGCAGCAGUAGGGAAUCUUCCGCAAUGGACGAAAGUCUGACGGAGCAACGCCGCGUGAACGAUGAAGGCCUUCGGGUCGUAAAGUUCUGUUGUUAGGGAAGAACAAGUGCUAGUUGAAUAAGCUGGCACCUUGACGGUACCUAACCAGAAAGCCACGGCUAACUACGUGCCAGCAGCCGCGGUAAUACGUAGGUGGCAAGCGUUGUCCGGAAUUAUUGGGCGUAAAGCGCGCGCAGGCGGUUUCUUAAGUCUGAUGUGAAAGCCCCCGGCUCAACCGGGGAGGGUCAUUGGAAACUGGGAAACUUGAGUGCAGAAGAGGAAAGUGGAAUUCCAAGUGUAGCGGUGAAAUGCGUAGAGAUUUGGAGGAACACCAGUGGCGAAGGCGACUUUCUGGUCUGUAACUGACGCUGAGGCGCGAAAGCGUGGGGAGCAAACAGGAUUAGAUACCCUGGUAGUCCACGCUGUAAACGAUGAGUGCUAAGUGUUAGAGGGUUUCCGCCCUUUAGUGCUGAAGUUAACGCAUUAAGCACUCCGCCUGGGGAGUACGGUCGCAAGACUGAAACUCAAAGGAAUUGACGGGGGCCCGCACAAGUGGUGGAGCAUGUGGUUUAAUUCGAAGCAACGCGAAGAACCUUACCAGGUCUUGACAUCCUCUGACAACCCUAGAGAUAGGGCUUUCCCUUCGGGGACAGAGUGACAGGUGGUGCAUGGUUGUCGUCAGCUCGUGUCGUGAGAUGUUGGGUUAAGUC
This 1092-nucleotide ribosomal RNA is filed under the name Gottfriedia acidiceleris. RNAcentral describes it as "bacterial SSU rRNA". It matches the Rfam family "Bacterial small subunit ribosomal RNA", at positions 13 to 1086 of the family's 1533-position model. The record is from RNAcentral. Lineage: Bacteria; Bacillati; Bacillota; Bacilli; Caryophanales; Bacillaceae.